This 255-nucleotide ribosomal RNA is filed under the name Triticum aestivum (bread wheat). RNAcentral's name for it is "partial small subunit ribosomal RNA". The record is from RNAcentral. Lineage: Eukaryota; Viridiplantae; Streptophyta; Magnoliopsida; Poales; Poaceae.
AUGGAUGUCCUGCAGAAGCUCGAGAAGCUCAAGCACAAGAAGAAGCGCCUCGUGCAGUCCCCCGACUACUUCCUCAUGGAUGUCAAGUCCCAGGGCUGCUUCAACAUAACGACCGUGUUCAGCCACUCUCAGACCAUGGUGGUGUGCCCAGGUUGGGAGACGGUGCUCUGCCGGCCUACAGGAGGAAAGGCGAGGCUCACUGAGGGAUGCUCCUUCUGCCGCAAGGGCAACAAAGGGUGUGUUUGGUUCUCGUAG